RNAcentral lists this ribosomal RNA (161 nucleotides) under Pseudomonas aeruginosa. RNAcentral describes it as "partial 16S ribosomal RNA". It matches the Rfam family "Bacterial small subunit ribosomal RNA", at positions 1381 to 1533 of the family's 1533-position model. The record is from RNAcentral. Lineage: Bacteria; Pseudomonadati; Pseudomonadota; Gammaproteobacteria; Pseudomonadales; Pseudomonadaceae.
UUGUACACACCGCCCGUCACACCAUGGGAGUGGGUUGCUCCAGAAGUAGCUAGUCUAACCGCAAGGGGGACGGUUACCACGGAGUGAUUCAUGACUGGGGUGAAGUCGUAACAAGGUAGCCGUAGGGGAACCUGCGGCUGGAUCACCUCCUUAAUCGAAGA